This 448-nucleotide ribosomal RNA is filed under the name uncultured bacterium. RNAcentral describes it as "SSU rRNA". It matches the Rfam family "Bacterial small subunit ribosomal RNA", at positions 26 to 518 of the family's 1533-position model. The record is from RNAcentral.
AGAACGAACGCUGGCGGCAGGCCUCAAACAUGCAAGUCUAGGGGGUGCAGCAAUGCAUCACCGGCGGACGGGUGCGUAACACGUGGGAAUAUACCUUUUGGUUCGGAACAACGCAGGGAAACUUGCGCUAAUACCGAAUGUGUCCUUACGGAGAAAGAUUUAUCGCCAAAGGAUUAGCCCGCGUCCGAUUAGCUAGUUGGUGAGGUAAUGGCUCACCAAGGCUCCGAUCGGUAGCUGUUCUGAGAGGAAGAUCAGCCACACUGGGACUGAGACACGGCCCAGACUCCUACGGGAGGCAGCAGUUGGGAAUCUUGGACAAUGGGGGAAACCCUGAUCCAGCCAUGCCGCGUGAGUGAUGAAGGCCUUCGGGUUGUAAAACUCUUUCGACGGGACGAUAAUGACGGUACCCGUAGAAGAAGCGUCCGGCUAACUUCGCGCCAGCAGCCGC